GGCGACCGGCGCACGGGUGCGUAACGCGUAUGUAACCUACCUAUAACAGGGCAUAACACUGAGAAAUUGGUACUAAUUCCCCAUAAUAUUCGGAGAGGCAUCUCUCCGGGUUGAAAACUCCGGUGGUUAUAGAUGGACAUGCGUUGUAUUAGCUAGUUGGUGAGGUAACGGCUCACCAAGGCAACGAUACAUAGGGGGACUGAGAGGUUAACCCCCCACACUGGUACUGAGACACGGACCAGACUCCUACGGGAGGCAGCAUG
This 263-nucleotide ribosomal RNA is filed under the name uncultured bacterium. Its description in RNAcentral is "partial 16S ribosomal RNA". It matches the Rfam family "Bacterial small subunit ribosomal RNA", at positions 90 to 353 of the family's 1533-position model. The record is from RNAcentral.